GACGAACGCUGGCGGCGUGCUUAACACAUGCAAGUCGAACGCUGAAGCUCAGCUUUUGUUGGGUGGAUGAGUGGCGAACGGGUGAGUAACACGUGAGUAACCUGCCUCCUUCUUUGGGAUAACGCCCGGAAACGGGUGCUAAUACUGGAUAUUCACUGGUCUUCGCAUGGGGGUUGGUGGAAAGGGUUUUUCUGGUGGGGGAUGGGCUCGCGGCCUAUCAGCUUGUUGGUGGGGUGAUGGCCUACCAAGGCUUUGACGGGUAGCCGGCCUGAGAGGGUGACCGGUCACAUUGGGACUGAGAUACGGCCCAGACUCCUACGGGAGGCAGCAGUGGGGAAUAUUGCACAAUGGGCGCAAGCCUGAUGCAGCGACGCCGCGUGAGGGAUGGAGGCCUUCGGGUUGUGAACCUCUUUCGCUCAUGGUCAAGCCGCAACAAUGGUUGUGGUGAAGGUAGUGGGUAAAGAAGCGCCGGCUAACUACGUG
Molecule: ribosomal RNA, 483 nt
Filed under: uncultured bacterium
Lineage: Bacteria
Description: partial 16S ribosomal RNA
Rfam family: Bacterial small subunit ribosomal RNA
Source: RNAcentral